RNAcentral lists this ribosomal RNA (336 nucleotides) under Triticum aestivum (bread wheat). RNAcentral's name for it is "partial small subunit ribosomal RNA". Lineage: Eukaryota; Viridiplantae; Streptophyta; Magnoliopsida; Poales; Poaceae. The record is from RNAcentral.
AAGAAGGAAAGGAUAGCAGCCGGAGCUGCUUUCACGUGGAUUCAAAGGAACUUUGCGCAUUGCCCUGGGGAUGCCACUGAUGAUGUGAUACAGACACAUGCUCAUGUCUGUAUGUGGUAUGUUGUCUCGAGGACUUUGUUUCCUGAAUCCACAGGCAAGAAUGCUCCAUGGAUGUGGCUGAAGGCGUUGACCGUCUUUGAUAGUGGAUGGAGCUGGGGUUCAGCAACUCUUGCCUACUUGUACCAACAGGUAGUUGGUUCGUUUUGUUAUAAAUUCAUUUCUUCAUUAGCAAUGCAACCUUGCUGUCAAGUUAACAUUGUUUUCUUUCAUAUGUAG